UUCUCUCUUCCUCGGCGCUGCCUACGGAGGUGGCAGCCAUCUCCUUCUCGGCAUCAUGGCCGCCCUCAGACCCCUUGUGAAGCCCAAGAUCGUCAAAAAGAGAACCAAGAAGUUCAUCCGGCACCAGUCAGACCGAUAUGUCAAAAUUAAGCGUAACUGGCGGAAACCCAGAGGCAUUGACAACAGGGUUCGUAGAAGAUUCAAGGGCCAGAUCUUGAUGCCCAACAUUGGUUAUGGAAGCAACAAAAAAACAAAGCACAUGCUGCCCAGUGGCUUCCGGAAGUUCCUGGUCCACAACGUCAAGGAGCUGGAAGUGCUGCUGAUGUGCAACAAGUGAGUUGGGUCCCACCUCUAGUUUUCAGGGAUCAGAAGUUUGCAUCUGUGUGAGCACUUCUGGCAGGAACUCUACAAACUCUUGGGAUGCAUUUUGGCGGGGGGUGUUGUACAUUCUCUGAGGGAAUCAGAAGUUGUUCCUUGCAGGAUUUUAGAGAAUGCUUGUUGGGGAAUUCAAGGUGUUUCCUUUGCUGAAGGGAGGAGACUUGGUCUUCUAAGUGUAGAGACCCAAGACCAGGAAAAGACUGCUUUGUGAACACUGCAAUAAUAGCCACUUUCCACUACUACAAUAUCCUUUG
This 632-nucleotide small RNA is filed under the name Pan troglodytes (chimpanzee). RNAcentral's name for it is "retained intron". Lineage: Eukaryota; Metazoa; Chordata; Mammalia; Primates; Hominidae. The record is from RNAcentral.